RNAcentral lists this long non-coding RNA (956 nucleotides) under Numida meleagris (helmeted guineafowl). Its description in RNAcentral is "lncRNA (ENSNMEG00000013235.1)". The record is from RNAcentral. Lineage: Eukaryota; Metazoa; Chordata; Aves; Galliformes; Numididae.
UUUGAAUUCAUUUCCUUUUUUCCCUCAAGGAGUGGUUAAUUUUUGCAGGCAUGCACCUAAAGGCUUCCCAGAGACUAGGAGUCUGUCAAGGGAGGUUGUUGGUCCAGAAUCCACACAGGUUUAGCUCCACAAUUCUCAGCCUAACUUAGGCUCCAGAAAACUCUGACACACUUCCUCUGUUCAAGUGUGGGGCAGCCACGUCAGCACUCGUCCUUGGCAAGGAAGGGGUCUGCAGAAGGAGGUAGCAAUGUCCUGAUGCAGAACAAAGAGGGAAGAGGAUCCUGCCAGCCACUGAUGUGCUUCCAUCCCUGUUUUUGUUGCUACAGAGCCUGGAGUCCAGUGGUACUAGAAGCAAACCACAGCACAGCUGGAAGAGGCACAAUGUGAGAAAUCCAUGGAUACAGGCAGUCCUGCACAGCAGUGCAGUGUGAGCAUGGUGCUGACAUUCCCCACAGUGGAGGCGGCAUCCAGACAUGCUGGAAACAGAUCACACCCCAUUUUCUUGAUUGACCUUUUUACAUGGCUUCCUGCAGCCCAACCACCACUGAGCAUCUCAGUGGAGAAGGACCAGAUCAGCUAACCAGACAGAAUUGUUCCAUUAUUUAUGAGUGGUGCAUGGCAGCAGUGCUGAAAUAUUCAGAAGUCCAAAACCUCAUUUUGGAAAAAUGUUUGGAAUUUUGUGAAUUAGCAGGAAGAAGUUGGGGUGUUGCAACUUCAUAUUUAGCUUUAAAAAAGAGGUGCAUGAAAAAAGAUCUGCACAACAACAUCCUCAACCAUUAAAAAUAGUUUUCUUUUUCAUAUCCUAAUGUGAGUAUAUUAUUCCAUGUGAAAAAAAAGAACACCUAUUUCCAUUUCUCUUUAUAGUAUAUGUACUUCUUCAGCUUUAGGAUUUUAAGAGGUUAUAACUUAACUUGUAACAUUAAAUUCUCUUUCUUCAAGUAAGAAGAGUCAAAGUC